GGGAAACUGCCCGAUGGAGGGGGAUAACUACUGGAAACGGUAGCUAAUACCGCAUAACGUCGCAAGACCAAAGUGGGGGACCUUCGGGCCUCACACCAUCGGAUGUGCCCAGAUGGGAUUAGCUAGUAGGUGGGGUAAUGGCUCACCUAGGCGACGAUCCCUAGCUGGUCUGAGAGGAUGACCAGCCACACUGGAACUGAGACACGGUCCAGACUCCUACGGGAGGCAGCAGUGGGGAAUAUUGCACAAUGGGCGCAAGCCUGAUGCAGCCAUGCCGCGUGUAUGAAGAAGGCCUUCGGGUUGUAAAGUACUUUCAGCGGGGAGGAAGGCGGUGAAGUUAAUAGCUUCACCGAUUGACGUUACCCGCAGAAGAAGCACCGGCUAACCCCGUGCCAGCAGCCGCGGUAAUACGGAGGGUGCAAGCGUUAAUCGGAAUUACUGGGCGUAAAGCGCACGCAGGCGGUCUGUCAAGUCGGAUGUGAAAUCCCCGGGCUUAACCUGGGAACUGCAUUCGAAACUGGCAGGCUGGAGUCUUGUAGAGGGGGGUAGAAUUCCAGGU
This 559-nucleotide ribosomal RNA is filed under the name uncultured bacterium. RNAcentral describes it as "bacterial SSU rRNA". It matches the Rfam family "Bacterial small subunit ribosomal RNA", at positions 120 to 674 of the family's 1533-position model. The record is from RNAcentral.